GAUGAACGCUGACAGAAUGCUUAACACAUGCAAGUCUACUUGAAUUCUCUUCGGAGAUAGUAAGGUGGCGGACGGGUGAGUAACACGUAAAGAACUUGCCCUGCAGUCUGGGACAACUAUUGGAAACGAUAGCUAAUACCGGAUAUUAUGCGAGAGUCGCAUGACUCUUGUAUGAAAGCUAUAUGCGCUGCAGGAGAGCUUUGCGUCCCAUUAGUUAGUUGGUGAGGUAAUGGCUCACCAAGACCGCGAUGGGUAGCCGGCCUGAGAGGGUGAACGGCCACAAGGGGACUGAGACACGGCCCUUACUCCUACGGGAGGCAGCAGUGGGGAAUAUUGGACAAUGGACCAAAAGGCUGAUCCAGCAAUUCUGUGUGCACGAUGACGGUCUUAGGAUUGUAAAGUGCUUUCAAUCGGGAAAAAGAAAGUGAUGGUACCGAUAGAAGAAGCGACGGCUAAAUACGUGCCAGCAGCCGCGGUAAUACGUAUGUCGCAAGCGUUAUCCGGAUUUAUUGGGCGUAAAGCGCGUCUAGGCGGUCUGGUAAGUCUGAUGUGGAAAUGCGGGGCUCAACUCCGUAUUGCGUUGGAAACUGCCAGACUAGAGUACUGGAGAGGUGGGCGGAACUACAAGUGUAGAGGUGAAAUUCGUAGAUAUUUGUAGGAAUGCCGAUAGAGAAGUCAGCUCACUGGACAGAUACUGACGCUGAAGCGCGAAAGCAUGGGGAGCAAACAGGAUUAGAUACCCUGGUAGUCCAUGCCGUAAACGAUGAUUACUAAGCGUCGGGGGUCGAACCUCGGCACUCAAGCUAACGCGAUAAGUAAUCCGCCUGGGGGAGUACGUACGCAAGUAUGAAACUCAAAGGGAAUUGACGGGGACCCGCACAAGUGGUGGAGCAUGUGGUUUAAUUCGACGCAACGCGAGGAACCUUACCAGCGUUUGACAUCCUAGGAAUGAGAAAGAGAUUUUUCAGUGCUCCUUCGGGAGAGCCUAGAGACAGGUGGUGCAUGGCUGUCGUCAGCUCGUGUCGUGAGAUGUUGGGUUAAGUCCCGCAACGAGCGCAACCCCUAUUGUAUGUUGCCAUCAUUAAGUUGGGCACUCAUGCGAUACUGCCUGCGACGAGCAGGAGGAAGGUGGGGAUGACGUCAAGUCAUCAUGCCCCUUAUAUGCUGGGCUACACACGUGCUACAAUGGGCAGUACAGAGAGAAGCGAAUCCGCGAGGAGGAGCAAACCUCAGAAAGCUGUUCGUAGUUCGGAUUGUACUCUGCAACUCGAGUACAUGAAGUUGGAAUCACUAGUAAUCGCAAAUCAGCAAUGUUGCGGUGAAUACGUUCUCGGGUCU
Molecule: ribosomal RNA, 1338 nt
Filed under: uncultured bacterium
Lineage: Bacteria
Description: bacterial SSU rRNA
Rfam family: Bacterial small subunit ribosomal RNA
Source: RNAcentral